This 427-nucleotide ribosomal RNA is filed under the name uncultured bacterium. RNAcentral describes it as "partial 16S ribosomal RNA". It matches the Rfam family "Bacterial small subunit ribosomal RNA", at positions 354 to 796 of the family's 1533-position model. The record is from RNAcentral.
GUGGGGAAUAUUGGGCAAUGGGGGAAACCCUGACCCAGCGACGCCGCGUGAGGGAAGAAGGCCUUAGGGUCGUAAACCUCUGUUGUGUGGGAAGAAGAGCGUGACGGUACCACACGAGGAAGUCCCGGCUAACUACGUGCCAGCAGCCGCGGUAAUACGUAGGGGACGAGCGUUGUCCGGAUUUACUGGGCGUAAAGGGCGCGUAGGCGGUCAUUUAAGUCAGCUGUGAAAUGGUUUGGCUUAACCGGAUCAUGCGGUUGAAACUGGAUGACUGGAGUGCUGGAGAGGCAAGUGGAAUUCCCAGUGUAGCGGUGAAAUGUGUAGAGAUUUGGAAGAACACCAGUGGCGAAGGCGACUUUCUGGACGAUGUCUGACGCUGAGGCGCGAAAGCUAGGGGAGCGAACGGGAUUAGAUACCCCAGUAGUCC